Molecule: transfer RNA, 73 nt
Filed under: Cotesia glomerata
Lineage: Eukaryota; Metazoa; Arthropoda; Insecta; Hymenoptera; Braconidae
Description: tRNA-Thr
Rfam family: tRNA
About the family: Transfer RNA (tRNA) molecules are approximately 80 nucleotides in length. Their secondary structure includes four short double-helical elements and three loops (D, anti-codon, and T loops).
Source: RNAcentral
GACUGGGUAGCUCAAAUGGUAGAGUAUCCGACAUGUCUUCGGGAGGUUCUAGGUUCGAACCCCAGUCCGAGCA